RNA transcript from Panicum virgatum (switchgrass), 2314 nucleotides. It is a transcript of the gene named tyrosine-specific transport protein-like, with no coding region annotated. The record is from RefSeq and is a predicted model, not a curated record. The transcript is spliced from 11 exons. Lineage: Eukaryota; Viridiplantae; Streptophyta; Magnoliopsida; Poales; Poaceae.
AGCAAUGGCGUUGAUCUCUGCUCACUGCUACCCUCUACUGCGACCUUCUUCGGUCUCCGCGAGGACACCGGUGCCCAGGCGAGUAAUCAGAAGAGGAACGAGGAGGCCGCUGCGGAGAUGCCUCUGCUCCCAGUACGCCGACGAACGGCAGCCGCCGGACUCGCCGCCGCAGCUGGAGCGCCUCUUCUCGAACCUCAACCAGGCGACCAUGGAGCACGAGCCUGGGAGCCUCACCAGUGCCAUCUUCCUAGUGGCUGGCACAAUGGUUGGGGCAGGUAUCCUCGCAAUCCCUGCAGUCACACAAGAAGCUGGGUUCUUGGCCUCUGCAGUUACAUGCAUUUCCUGCUGGUUAUACAUGGUAAUAGAACGUCAUUGACUGGGUAAAUUAUCAAACCCGGCUUGUUCAAGGUGACAUGCAGUCAGAGAAGCCUAUGAAAGGUUGUGACAGGGUUGCUAGUUGCUGAAGUAAACGUCAAUACAAUGUGUGAGCUAGGAUCUGGAGGUGUCUCCCUGGUCUCAAUGGCUAUGCGCACUCUUGGGACAUUUGGAGUAAGAACAACCUGCUUAUCCUAUUUAUUUAUACAUUAUACGCUUCUUGUCGCAUAUGUGGCACGCUCUUCAGAUAUCAUAACAGACUUAUUGGGUAUUCCAUUAUGGGAGAGUGCUACCCUGUUUUCACUGGCUUUUGGGGGGAUUUGUUACUUUGGAAGCCAGCGACUGAUCGGUGCAGUAAAUGGAUUUCUGGUAGUUGGCAUCCUAAUGUCCUUCACUUCUCUUGUUGUGGUUGCAAGUGCAAACCUACAGUGGAGUUCUCUUCUUGAAGCAAAUUUUGCUGCUGCUCCACAAAGUAUACCAAUAAUUGCUCUUUCAUUUGUAUACCAGGUAAUCCUGUUAUCAUCCGUAUUUACUUGAAUAAAUUAUCUCCCUGGCACUAAACUGAGUAUUUGCUCUAUCAGAAUGUAGUUCCUGUUCUCUGUACAAAUUUGGAGGGAGACCUGUCAAAAGUACGAACAGCUAUCAUAGCGGGUACUGCCAUACCCCUGGCUCUGUUCCUAGUAUGGGAUGGUGUAAUCCUGGGAACACUUCCUGGCAUUGCAGGGAGCAGCACUGUUUCUGAUCCUUUAGAACUACUUAGAUCAAGUAAUGGGAUAGUGGGGCCUAUUGUUGAGGCGUUCUCAUUUCUCGCAAUAGGCACAUCAUACAUUGGAUUUGUUCUAGGACUCUCAGACUUCCUAGCAGACUGUAAGUAUCUUUGGUCCAUAGCAAUCAGAUUUCUCAGCUAACCCAGAGGGAGAACCUCUCCACCUUUUUAUGGGAGAGAUACCAAGGCAGCAAUAAUUCUUUCUUGUCGCUUCUGUAAAACUUUGCAGUGCUUAAACUACCAAGUGGCCAGAACAAACCUCUGCCAUAUUUAUUAACUCUGCUCCCUCCACUUUUUCUGUCCCUGCUUGAUCCGGAGAUAUUUUUCAAAGCAUUGGACUUUGCAGGAACUUAUGGAGGCAAGGAUCUUUUUACUGUAUAUUAAACUGUGUUAUUUCAUAAUCUAUUAUCCUCGCAAACAUGUGGUAAAAUGGGACGAUACCAACAGUAUAUUACUCAGUUUUCCUUCUGAUUUGAUAUCUCGAAACUAAACACCGCAUCAUAAGAAUUGUUUAUGUUGACCCAAAUGAAAAGCACUCCUUGUGGAUUUGAAAUCACAAAGUAAUAGCAGAUAAAUAGAAGUGCCAGACAUCUAUAUGACAUGGGAUCAUCUAUAAUCUAAUUGCAGUAAGAUAUUAUAAAUUGAAGUAUAGAGCAUUCAUCUGAUAAGUGACUGCAUAUAUAUGACACUUCAUACUUGAGUAGAAUGAACUGAUACCUUGCAUGCAUUAUUUUCAGUUCUAGUACUCUUUGGAGUUUUUCCUGCAGCUAUGUCUUGGUCAGAGAGAUAUUCAGAUGAGUCGGAAGCCCCAGUACCCCCUAUCGUCCCAGGAGGAAAACUUACUCUCUCGGUUGUUCUGGGAGGUGCAUUGCUUGUUAUUGUUUCAGAGGUAAUCAAGGAUGUAAUGCAAUUACAAGGACUACUCUGACAAUCAGUGUAAGUGAAAGGAUACAUACUUAAGUUCCGAACUUUCAGAUUUUUUGUACAGUAGUGCCAACAGGUAGCAAGUAUAUAGUCAAAAACAAUCAAGUGCAGUUUGCAGUUUCAUCGAGCAUCGACGUUGAGUGUAACCGUUCCAAUGAGAUUCGCAGGAGAUAUUUAUUGUCAAAUAGAGAGCUGUAUAAUGUAUCCUUGUUGAGUCUAUCUAUAUAAUGGGUUCCAAUCCAACUUUUA